This is a non-coding RNA of Psilocybe cubensis, 86 nucleotides long. NCBI's taxonomy places the organism in Eukaryota, Fungi, Basidiomycota, Agaricomycetes, Agaricales, Agrocybaceae. The record is from the annotation of a RefSeq genome assembly.
GCCCCCGUUGUCUAAUGGUUAUGACGUCAGACUUCUACCGAAUGAGCGGUAUCUGGAGGUUGCGGGUUCGAAUCCCGCCGGGGGUU